This is a long non-coding RNA of Gorilla gorilla gorilla (western lowland gorilla), 1701 nucleotides long. RefSeq lists it as uncharacterized. NCBI's taxonomy places the organism in Eukaryota, Metazoa, Chordata, Mammalia, Primates, Hominidae. The transcript is spliced from 6 exons. The record is from RefSeq and is a predicted model, not a curated record.
ACCUGCUGGCAGAAAAGGAGAAAUGCUGUACGAGGUUUACGAAUAGGUCAGUUUGGUAUACAAACUGAAGCCCUAAGUGGACUGCUACUACUAUUGCAGGAACACAGCACACAAGAAAAGGUGUCUGUCUUUCCUGUGUAAUGGACAGGUUUUGAAUCGUGGGCCCAGAAGGAUUGUCUGAAUUUUAAGGAAUGUCCAUUUGUGCUUUAGCAACUUGAAGCUUCAGUGGAAAGAAUCAGAACACAGAGAAAACUUGCUGCUAGGACAAAAAUGAAGGAAAGAAUCACCCCAGGAUGGUGAUACCAGGGUUACAGGCUCACAGGCAGAAGGGACUUGGCCUUUCUCAGAUGAGACUUUGGACUGUGGACUUCAGAGCACCACCAUGUAAGAAGUGCCUUUCACCUUCCACCUUGAUUGUGAGGUCUCCCUAGCCAUGUAGAACUCUAUGCUUUCUGGCCCCCAGAUCUGCACCUGACCUUUACCACCUCCUCAUCAUCCACUCUGUCUGCACCCUCUUGACCGUGUCUGAGUCUCCUUUGGGGCUGGAUGUCUGCUUCAGCAUUAGGAAAUGGACACAUCUACAGAAUCUCUCAUGGCAACACACCAAGUAAUUUUCUGGGCAAUUUUAUACUUUUAUAAGAAUGAAAGAUGUUUUGAUUCCAAAACAUUCUGUCCUGUUCUCUAAUCAUUUUAGUCUUUUAAAGCAUAUUGUCUUGGAAUGGUUAAGAUGUUUUGCUCAUCAAUUUCUUUGUAGCCCAACAAUUUAUAACAGUAUUUCUAAAUUUCCAGAAAAAUGCUAUUGCGUUCUUUCUUUUCUGCAGUUCCUCACCAUUGUCACAGAGCCUGUGUUAGGGAAUUUAGUCAGAGAUUGUCACACAGGAUUUACUUUAGAAGCACCUGGGAAACUUUCAAAAAUUCCAGAGGCCUGGUAUCACUCCCAGAAAUAUGAUAUAAUUGGUCAGCACAGACUUAGACAUCAAUAAUUUUUAAAGAUCCCAGGUGAUUCUACCAUGCAGACAGAGAUGAGAAACACUGAAUUAGAUCAUUUCCAGAAGCCACAGAAUAAAAUGUAAACUCUUCUUCCAUUCUUUAGCUAUUGUAAGCUUCGUCCUUUCAACAAGUUACAUUACUAAAAAUCGACAAACUGAACUCACAUGAAUGUGUACUUACAGAGUUGUGGCUCCUGAUUCUAUUUAAGGUAUGUUAAAGUAAAAGCAGUUAGAAUAUGGAAUUUUUUUUUCCCUUGACUAUGCUAAAGAAAUAUUGGUGAGGAAUGUUGUGGCUCAUUUUUUGUUCUUUCUACAUUUUAUUUUGUAAAAAUUUAAAUAUUUAAUCAUGCUCUUCAGUCCUUUACCCAUUUUAAGUCUUUUAGUAAGGUUUUAUAACUUUAAACAUACAGAUACUGCAUAUUAUGUAUUAGGUUUAUUUUAACAUUUAACAGAGAUUUGUGACUAUUAUGAGUAUGAAUAUAUAAUAAAUUAUUACAAAUUCUAAUCAGUUACGCUGAUGUGGAAUAUUUUCAAGUGUUGAUCUUGAACCCAGUUAUCUUAUCCAAUAAUCUAUACUUUCAGUGAGCUCUAAUUUAUUUAUUGUAAGAUAAUAUUAUAAAAUGACAAAUUUGUAACCCUUGCAGUCACUGAUUUCCAAUAUUUAUAUCUCCUUUUAUUUUAAAUUUUUCUUGUUCCUCAAAACUGUUUAAGA